Molecule: ribosomal RNA, 379 nt
Filed under: uncultured bacterium
Lineage: Bacteria
Description: bacterial SSU rRNA
Rfam family: Bacterial small subunit ribosomal RNA
Source: RNAcentral
UAACACGUAGGGACCAAGCGUUGUCCGGAUUCAUUGGGCGUAAAGAGCUCGUAGGCGGUUCGAUAAGUCGGGUGUGAAACCUCCAGGCUCAACCUGGAGACGCCACCCGAUACUGUCGUGACUAGAGUCCAGUAGGGGAGCGUGGAAUUCCUGGUGUAGCGGUGAAAUGCGCAGAUAUCAGGAGGAACACCAGCGGCGAAGGCGGCGCUCUGGGCUGGAACUGACGCUGAGGAGCGAAAGCGUGGGGAGCGAACAGGAUUAGAUACCCUGGUAGUCCACGCCGUAAACGUUGGGUACUAGGUGUGGGGUCUUAUCAACGGAUUCCGUGCCGAAGCUAACGCAUUAAGUACCCCGCCUGGGGAGUACGGCCGCAAGGCUA